CAGUAGCCGCGGUAAUACGUAGGGUGCAAGCGUUAAUCGGAAUUACUGGGCGUAAAGCGUGCGUAGGCGGUUCGUUAAGUCUGUUGUGAAAGCCCCGGGCUCAACCUGGGAAUGGCAAUGGAUACUGGCGAGCUAGAGUGUGUCAGAGGAUGGUGGAAUUCCCGGUGUAGCGGUGAAAUGCGUAGAGAUCGGGAGGAACAUCAGUGGCGAAGGCGGCCAUCUGGGACAACACUGACGCUGAGGCACGAAAGCGUGGGGAGCAAACAGGAUUAGAUACCCGUGUAGUCCCUGUCUCUUAUAC
This 301-nucleotide ribosomal RNA is filed under the name uncultured bacterium. RNAcentral's name for it is "partial 16S ribosomal RNA". It matches the Rfam family "Bacterial small subunit ribosomal RNA", at positions 509 to 807 of the family's 1533-position model. The record is from RNAcentral.